This 1496-nucleotide ribosomal RNA is filed under the name uncultured rumen bacterium. RNAcentral describes it as "16S ribosomal RNA". It matches the Rfam family "Bacterial small subunit ribosomal RNA". The record is from RNAcentral.
AGAGUUUGAUCCUGGCUCAGGAUGAACGCUGGCGGCGUGCUUAACACAUGCAAGUCGAGCGAGAACUCGCUCAGCCGAUUCUUCGGAAGAAAGCAGAGCGACGGAAAGCGGCGGACGGGUGAGUAACGCGUGGGAAACCUGCCCUGUGCAGGGGGACAGCCGAGGGAAACUUCGAUUAAUACCCCAUAACACCAAAGCAUCGCAUGGUGCAAUGGUCAAAGAUUUAUCGGCACAGGAUGGUCCCGCGUCUGAUUAGCUGGUUGGUGAGGUAGCGGCUCACCAAGGCGACGAUCAGUAGCCGGCCUGAGAGGGUGAACGGCCACAUUGGAACUGAGACACGGUCCAGACUCCUACGGGAGGCAGCAGUGGGGGAAUAUUGCACACUGGGGGAAACCCUGAUGCAGCAACGCCGCGUGAAGGAAGAAGGCCUUCGGGUCGUAAACUUCUGUCCUUGGGGAAGAAACCUGACGGUACCCUUGGAGGAAGCCCCGGCUAACUACGUGCCAGCAGCCGCGGUAACACGUAGGGGGCAAGCGUUAUCCGGAAUUACUGGGCGUAAAGAGUACGUAGGUGGCCCUGUAAGCGUAGGGUUUAAGGCGACGGCCCAACUGUCGCAUGCCCCAUGAACUGCAGAGCUUGAGUGCUGGAGGGAACGGCGGAAUUCCUAGUGUAGCGGUGAAAUGCGUAGAUAUWRRGAGGAACACCGGUGGCGAAGGCGGCCUUCUGGACAGUAACUGACACUGAGGUACGAAAGCGUGGGGAGCAAACAGGAUUAGAUACCCUGGGUAGUSCACGCCGUAAACGAUGAGCACUAGGUGUCGGGCUCAUAAGAGUUCGGUGCCGGAGCAAACGCAUUAAGUGCUCCGCCUGGGGAGUACGCACGCAAGUGUGAAACUCAAAGGAAUUGACGGGAGCCCGCACAAGCAGUGGAGUAUGUGGUUUAAUUCGACGCAACGCGAAGAACCUUACCGGAGCUUGACAUCCCCCGGAUCUGGUUGUAAUGACCGGAGUGCCUUUCGGGGAACGGGGAGACAGGUGGUGCAUGGUUGUCGUCAGCUCGUGUCGUGAGAUGUUGGGUUAAGUCCCGCAACGAGCGCAGCCCUUAUGUUCAGUUGCUACGUUAAGAGCACUCUGGACAGACUGCCGUUGACAAAACGGAGGAAGGUGGGGACGACGUCAAAUCAUCAUGCCCCUUACGUUCCGGGCUACACACGUACUACAAUGGCGAGAACAAAGGGAAGCGAGACCGCGAGGUGGAGCGAACCCCAUAAAAAUCGUCCCAGUUCGGACUGCAGGCUGCAACCCGCCUGCACGAAGUUGGAAUUGCUAGUAAUCGCGGAUCAGCAUGCCGCGGUGAAUACGUUCCCGGGCUUUGUACACACCGCCCGUCAAACCAUGAAAGUUGGGAACACCCGAAGCCUGUGAGCCAACCGCAAGGGAGCAGCGGUCGAAGGUGGGUUCAAUGAUUGGGGUUAAGUCGUAACAAGGUAACCGUA